GGCCUCUUAGCUCAGUUGGCUAGAGCGUUGACUGUACUUAAGCCUUCCCCCUUCCUAGCGUGGGUUCAAAUCUCACCAAGGCCG
This 84-nucleotide transfer RNA is filed under the name Schistocephalus solidus. It matches the Rfam family "tRNA". From Rfam's summary of the family: Transfer RNA (tRNA) molecules are approximately 80 nucleotides in length. Their secondary structure includes four short double-helical elements and three loops (D, anti-codon, and T loops). Lineage: Eukaryota; Metazoa; Platyhelminthes; Cestoda; Diphyllobothriidea; Diphyllobothriidae. The record is from Rfam by way of RNAcentral.